Molecule: ribosomal RNA, 495 nt
Filed under: Quadraseta brasiliensis
Lineage: Eukaryota; Metazoa; Arthropoda; Arachnida; Trombidiformes; Trombiculidae
Description: SSU rRNA
Rfam family: Eukaryotic small subunit ribosomal RNA
Source: RNAcentral
AUAUUGGAGGGCAAGUCUGGUGCCAGCAGCCGCGGUAAUUCCAGCUCCAAUAGCGUAUAUUAAAGUUGUUGCGGUUAAAAAGCUCGUAGUUGGAUCUCAGCUCACGCUAAGUGGUCCACUUAAUGGUGGUUACUACUUAGCUGAGCAUUUUACAGAUUUGUCUCUUGAUGCUCUUCACCGAGUGUCAAGAGUGGUCUGUACGUUUACUUUGAAAAAAUUAGAGUGCUUAAAGCAGGCAACUCGCCCGAAUAAUCUUGCAUGGAAUAAUGGAAUAGGACCUUGGUUCUAUUUUGUUGGUCUCCGGAAUCUGAGGUAAUGAUUAAGAGGGACAGACGGGGGCAUUCGUAUUGCGCCGCUAGAGGUGAAAUUCUUGGACCGGCGCAAGACGAACUACAGCGAAAGCAUUUGCCAAGAAUGUUUUCAUUAAUCAAGAACGAAAGUUAGAGGUUCGAAGGCGAUCAGAUACCGCCCUAGUUCUAACCAUAAACGAUGCCA